This 65-nucleotide transfer RNA is filed under the name Rabdotus mooreanus. Its description in RNAcentral is "tRNA-Thr". It matches the Rfam family "tRNA". From Rfam's summary of the family: Transfer RNA (tRNA) molecules are approximately 80 nucleotides in length. Their secondary structure includes four short double-helical elements and three loops (D, anti-codon, and T loops). Further hydrogen bonds mediate the characteristic L-shaped molecular structure. tRNAs have two regions of fundamental functional importance: the anti-codon, which is responsible for specific mRNA codon recognition, and the 3' end, to which the tRNAs corresponding amino acid is attached (by aminoacyl-tRNA synthetases). tRNAs cope with the degeneracy of the genetic code in two manners: having more than one tRNA (with a specific anti-codon) for a particular amino acid; and 'wobble' base-pairing, i.e. permitting non-standard base-pairing at the 3rd anti-codon position. Lineage: Eukaryota; Metazoa; Mollusca; Gastropoda; Stylommatophora; Orthalicidae. The record is from RNAcentral.
UUUCUUAUAGCUUAAAAUAAAGCUUAGAUUUUGUAAAUCUAAAAUGAAUUAAUAUUCUAAGAAUA